GGACAACUCUCAACACGGCAGCUAGCCAGUCCCUUUCUCCCGAGAGAAGGGGAGUGGUUUCCAGUCUAAUCCAACGCAACGGUCACAGCAUGUGCACGAAUGCAUGAUGGGCUGCAAAUCAACUACAUCUAGUCAACAUCUUCAACAACAAAGGACAAGAAAAGCCCAACAGAAGGAAAUGAAGUUCCUGCUGCUUGUGAUUUGCUGUAUGAUUUCCACAUCACUAGCUGGUCUGAUUGACAAAGAGGCUAAACUGGAAACAGUGCUCAAUGAAAUUGAUGAGGUAUUGCGAGACCUGAAAGCUGAUGAUGACAAGCCUCAGCCUGGACCACUCGGAGACAUUCAAAAACUCGAUUCGAUGCUCAAUGAUCG
This is a long non-coding RNA of Halichondria panicea, 372 nucleotides long. RefSeq lists it as uncharacterized. The transcript has 3 exons. The record is from RefSeq and is a predicted model, not a curated record. NCBI's taxonomy places the organism in Eukaryota, Metazoa, Porifera, Demospongiae, Suberitida, Halichondriidae.